RNAcentral lists this unclassified non-coding RNA (352 nucleotides) under soil metagenome. RNAcentral describes it as "partial contains 5.8S ribosomal RNA, internal transcribed spacer 2, and large subunit ribosomal RNA". The stretch from base 1 to 120 matches the Rfam family "5.8S ribosomal RNA", at positions 35 to 154 of the family's 154-position model. The record is from RNAcentral.
GAUGAAGAACGCAGCGAAAUGCGAUAAGUAAUGUGAAUUGCAGAAUUCAGUGAAUCAUCGAAUCUUUGAACGCACAUUGCGCCCGCCAGUAUUCUGGCGGGCAUGCCUGUUCGAGCGUCAUUACAACCCUCAGGCCCCCGGGCCUGGCGUUGGGGAUCGGCGGAGCCCCCCGUGGGCACACGCCGUCCCCCAAAUACAGUGGCGGUCCCGCCGCAGCUUCCAUCGCGUAGUAGCUAACACCUCGCGACUGUAGAGCGGCGCGGCCACGCCGUAAAACACCCAACUCUUCUGAAGUUGACCUCGAAUCAGGUAGGAAUACCCGCUGAACUUAAGCAUAUCAAUAAGCGGAGGA